AGAGUUUGAUCCUGGCUCAGGAUGAACGCUAGCGACAGGCUUAACACAUGCAAGUCGAGGGGCAGCGAGGGAGUGGCAACACUUCUGUCGGCGACCGGCGCACGGGUGAGUAACGCGUAUGCAACCUGCCCUUCACAGGGGGAUAACCGGGAGAAAUUCCGACUAAUACCGCAUACGUCCUCCGGGGGCAUCCCCGGGGGAUGAAAGAAUUAUCGGUGAAGGAUGGGCAUGCGUGAUAUUAGGUAGUUGGCGGGGCAACGGCCCACCAAGCCCACGAUAUCUAGGGGUUCUGAGAGGAAGGUCCCCCACAUUGGUACUGAGACACGGACCAAACUCCUACGGGAGGCAGCAGUGAGGAAUAUUGGUCAAUGGACGAGAGUCUGAACCAGCCAAGUCGCGUGAAGGAAGACGGAUCUAUGGUUUGUAAACUUCUUUAGUGCGGGAACAAAGCGGCGUCGUGACGCCGGAUGAGUGUACCGCAAGAAUAAGCAUCGGCUAACUCCGUGCCAGCAGCCGCGGUAAUACGGAGGAUGCGAGCGUUAUCCGGAUUUAUUGGGUUUAAAGGGAGCGCAGGCUGCGAGGCAAGUCAGCGGUCAAAUGUCGGGGCUCAACCCCGGCCUGCCGUUGAAACUGUCCUGCUAGAGUUCGAGUGAGGUAUGCGGAAUGCGUUGUGUAGCGGUGAAAUGCAUAGAUAUGACGCAGAACUCCGAUUGCGAAGGCAGCAUACCAACUUGCGACUGACGCUGAGGCUCGAAAGCGUGGGUAUCGAACAGGAUUAGAUACCCUGGUAGUCCACGCAGUAAACGAUGAAUACUAACUGUUCGGAGGGCGACCUCUGAG
This 840-nucleotide ribosomal RNA is filed under the name human gut metagenome. RNAcentral describes it as "bacterial SSU rRNA". It matches the Rfam family "Bacterial small subunit ribosomal RNA", at positions 8 to 843 of the family's 1533-position model. The record is from RNAcentral.